This 253-nucleotide ribosomal RNA is filed under the name uncultured bacterium. RNAcentral describes it as "partial 16S ribosomal RNA". It matches the Rfam family "Bacterial small subunit ribosomal RNA", at positions 524 to 776 of the family's 1533-position model. The record is from RNAcentral.
UACAGAGGGUGCAAACGUUGUUCGGAAUUACUGGGCGUAAAGCGCGUGUAGGCGGCUAAGUAAGUCGGGCGUGAAAUCCCACGGCUCAACCGUGGAAGUGCACUCGAAACUGCAUAGCUAGAGUCCUGGAGAGGAAGGUGGAAUGCUUGGUGUAGAGGUGAAAUUCGUAGAUAUCAAGCGGAACACCGGUGGCGAAGGCGGCCUUCUGGACAGUGACUGACGCUGAGACGCGAAAGUUAGGGGAGCAAACGGG